GACUUUGCGUCUACAGCCCGAGCGACUCGCGAAAGGCUGAUGGCUGGUGGCUUUUGCCACCGGCCU
Molecule: non-coding RNA, 66 nt
Organism: Pseudomonas sp. BRH_c35
Lineage: Bacteria; Pseudomonadati; Pseudomonadota; Gammaproteobacteria; Pseudomonadales; Pseudomonadaceae
Source: Rfam